UCUUCGAUAGUAUAGUGGUGAGUAUUUCCGCCUGUCACGGAGAAGACCGGGGUUCAAUUCCCCGUCGGGGAG
RNAcentral lists this transfer RNA (72 nucleotides) under Saccoglossus kowalevskii. RNAcentral describes it as "tRNA-Asp". It matches the Rfam family "tRNA". From Rfam's summary of the family: Transfer RNA (tRNA) molecules are approximately 80 nucleotides in length. Their secondary structure includes four short double-helical elements and three loops (D, anti-codon, and T loops). The record is from RNAcentral. Lineage: Eukaryota; Metazoa; Hemichordata; Enteropneusta; Harrimaniidae.